This 1039-nucleotide long non-coding RNA is filed under the name Canis lupus familiaris (dog). Its description in RNAcentral is "lncRNA (ENSCAFG00000038194.3)". The record is from RNAcentral. Lineage: Eukaryota; Metazoa; Chordata; Mammalia; Carnivora; Canidae.
GGAUUCAGUUGACACCAUAAUCAGUGUGCUAUCCCUUCGGCAGUUGGUGGACGUUUGGGUUGCCUCCAGUUUCUCGCUGUGACAAACAUGCUUCAAUCCACAUGCAUGUCUCUCUGCCUACAUAGAUUUCUUUUUCUCUCGGGUAAACACCUCAGGGUAGAAUGGCUGGGUCACAUGGUAGCUCUAUGUUUCAUUUUUGAGGAACUGCCAAACCGUUUUCAAGCGGCUGUACCAUUUUUACAUUUCUGCCAGGGGCAUGCGAAUUCGUCUCUGCUUCUUUGGAAAAAGUAUAAAAGAAAGAAGUAAAUACUGGCUGCUAUAAAAAAAAAAGAAAAGAAAAGAAAAGAAAAGGAGAAAAAGAAUUUUAAUCCAGAAAUAUAGAGAGUAAGAAAGGGUGAAGGUCCCUUUUGUUCCACUCCGGUCCUAGUUCCUCAUACAUACGUGCGUGUGGGUGUGUAGGUGAGAUUCUGUGAGAUCUGUUGCUCUGGCUCUGGCUCUGGCUCUGGCUCUGGCUCUGGCUCCCCUGGAUGCACACCGAAGCCUAGAGGUCUUCUGUCGUCAGCGCCCAUGGCCCUACCUCCACCUCAGGGCAGGAAGGCUGCCCAUGACAAAGGAGUCCAUUUCUCGCGGUUGACCCGAUCUCCUGGCAGCACCACAGGCUUGGCCGCCCUCCUGGAGAGUGAGAGAAUGUUCGGGAACAAUUGCCCAGUAAAAAGACCCAGAAGAAAUCCGCCUAAAGGAGAGACAAACAGAGCUGUGAAUCUGUCUCAGCAGCAGAAUAAAAGACUAGGAGCCUGGCCUGAGCAUGUUGCCAAAAUCUAAACUAAUAAAAGACUGAUUUCAGGUAAAGAAAACCUUUGCCUGCCAGAGAGACCUCCACAACUCUCUUACCAGAAAAGUAGAUUAUUUACAUUUGCAGAUGCUACUGUGUUCAUUGCCCACAAAAAGCAUGUAUGAGGAUAAGCUUGUGACAAAUGCUCAUCCACCAUCUGAUUUAUUUUAGGGUUAGUCCUUUACUUUUCCCUUCUGCUCUUCUCCA